This 435-nucleotide ribosomal RNA is filed under the name uncultured Oscillospiraceae bacterium. RNAcentral's name for it is "partial 16S ribosomal RNA". It matches the Rfam family "Bacterial small subunit ribosomal RNA", at positions 341 to 792 of the family's 1533-position model. The record is from RNAcentral. Lineage: Bacteria; Bacillati; Bacillota; Clostridia; Eubacteriales; Oscillospiraceae.
ACGGAAGGCAGUAGUCGGGAAUUUUGCGCAAUGGAGGAAACUCUGACGCAGUGACGCCGCGUGCAGGAAGAAGGUUUUCGGAUUGUAAACUGCUUUAGACAAGGAAGAACAAGGACAGUACUUGUAGAAUAAGCUCCGGCUAACUACGUGCCAGCAGCCGCGGUAAUACGUAGGGAGCAAGCGUUAUCCGGAUUUAUUGGGUGUAAAGGGUGCGUAGACGGGAAAAUAAGUUAGUUGUGAAAUCCCUCGGCUUAACUGAGGAACUGCAACUAAAACUGUUUUUCUUGAGUGUUGGAGAGGAAAGUGGAAUUCCUAGUGUAGCGGUGAAAUGCGUAGAUAUUAGGAGGAACACCAGUGGCGAAGGCGACUUUCUGGACAAUAACUGACGUUGAGGCACGAAAGUGUGGGGAGCAAACAGGAUUAGAUACCCUGGUA